Molecule: long non-coding RNA, 1032 nt
Organism: Asterias rubens (European starfish)
Lineage: Eukaryota; Metazoa; Echinodermata; Asteroidea; Forcipulatida; Asteriidae
Exons: 3
Source: RefSeq, a predicted model, not a curated record
CUCGUGGAUAAAAAGUCCACAGGCUCAUCAUAUAUGUGGAAGUCAUAAUCGUGACUCCCACAAAAUACAAUAGAUGUGGCUAACACAGGUCAUUAGACUUGCCGGUGAUAGCAGGUAACACAUGAAGUACCUGACUGUACCAUCAACUGCUAACAAAUGCAAUGGAACUAAACAACAUCUGACUGCUUGUCAACUGUAUUGACUGUCACAACACUGUCUGCUGUUAAUGUUGCUUCUAACUGAUGGUGCACAUGUACAUCAAAACUGAUCUAGGACUAUACAAGGGAUUGUAGCUGGUCACCUUCCUGGCUGUCACUUAUCAUCUGCAUUGACUGUAUUCAUCUGUGUGACUGUCUUCCAUUUGAAGAAGCUGAGAGCACAAACAACUAUUGUGUUAUAAACUGAUGGACUUAGUUUGCUCUCACCUGCUGCUCAUCAUCUGCAUUACAUGUAUUGUUACUGUCAUCUAUUCCACCUUUGGAUGGAGCUGACAGCAAACUCAACUAUGGUGCUACAAGCUGAUGGAGCAACUCUACCUCACUAGCUAUUUGUAAUCUGCACUGACUGUGUUCAUUCUGUGUGACAAUUGGUUGCAGCUGAUGAUGUAUGACGGUUGUAUCUAUAUGUACCAUAAACUAUGCACAACCAUUUAUAUAGCUACAUGUAGUUAUCUGCUUACCAUGUGUAUGUGGUGAACUACAUGUAUGCGGUGGACUGUCUAUGGACAAGUGUUUUCAAGAAGACAACUUUGCUGCUCAUCAGGAGGUCAUCACUUCCAUUGACUGAACCGUUAUCAACCAGUCAAAGAGGAAAUCAAAUAGGGGUCGUCCCUCAGACUGUGUCAAUCAGAGUUGUCAGCAAAGAACAUUCCAGACAGGAUUAGUGACUGAUUGAUGUUCCCUCAUGACUUUAUAAGAUCACCUACUCCCUGCUGACAUGAACGUGACUGAUACACAAUAUUGAGUUUUAGUUUACCUAAAAUGCUAUUUUUUUGCAACGAGGGCUUUAUUUUUGACAAAAAUACACUCGCCA